UGUUGGACCACGAACGGUGUCGGU
RNAcentral lists this non-coding RNA (24 nucleotides) under Arabidopsis thaliana (thale cress). Lineage: Eukaryota; Viridiplantae; Streptophyta; Magnoliopsida; Brassicales; Brassicaceae. The record is from RNAcentral.